AAGUCAUGCGUUGAGCAUAUAACGAACUAUUCUUUCAUCUUUUACCAAAGAAUAUUGUGUGUUCGUCGUUUUAAGUGACAUACGUCUAUUUUUUGAGGGGCUCACCUCUAUGGGUGUCC
Molecule: small nuclear RNA, 119 nt
Organism: Pyrus x bretschneideri (Chinese white pear)
Lineage: Eukaryota; Viridiplantae; Streptophyta; Magnoliopsida; Rosales; Rosaceae
Product: U5 spliceosomal RNA
Exons: 1
Source: RefSeq, a predicted model, not a curated record